AAGACCCUGGGGCAUUCGUGAUGUGCUUUUUUCCUUAGAGCCAACACCUAACACUGGGGGGCUGGCUCUGGAUGAAGGCAAGCAUGCCUCGAAAGAGGAAGUGAGCCUUCAUCUGCGAGGCUCCCACCUAUCGUUGUUAGGUUCUAGGAAGAAGACAACACACGGUGUCCCUGGGGUUUUU
RNAcentral lists this non-coding RNA (181 nucleotides) under Hippea maritima DSM 10411. Its description in RNAcentral is "6S / SsrS RNA". It matches the Rfam family "6S / SsrS RNA". Rfam says of the family: E. coli 6S RNA was the first non coding RNA to be sequenced, but its function was unknown until recently. It consists of 184 nucleotides that fold into an extended hairpin structure with a large single-stranded internal bulge. Lineage: Bacteria; Pseudomonadati; Campylobacterota; Desulfurellia; Desulfurellales; Hippeaceae. The record is from Rfam by way of RNAcentral.